GGAUGGCACAAAGGAGUGACCUAAGAACACAAGUGCAUUGGAUCACCUUGUACAAGCUAAUCCACUUGUGUUCUCAAAUUUACUCCUUUGGGGUGAGC
Molecule: microRNA precursor, 98 nt
Filed under: Olea europaea subsp. europaea
Lineage: Eukaryota; Viridiplantae; Streptophyta; Magnoliopsida; Lamiales; Oleaceae
Source: RNAcentral